UACGUAGGUGGCGAGCGUUACUCGGAAUUACUAGGCGUAAAGCGUAUGUAGGCGGUCGUAUAAGUCUUUAGUGAAAUUUCUCGGCUUAACCGAGAAAGGUCUAAAGAUACUGUUUGACUUGAGUGUGGGAGGGGGAGACGGAAUUCCUGGUGUAGCGGUGGAAUGCGUAGAUAUCAGGAGGAACACCGAUGGCGAAAGCAGUCUCCUGGCCCAAUACUGACGCUAAUGUACGAAAGCUAGGGUAGCAAACAGGAUUAGAUACCCUGGUAGUCCUAGCUGUAAACGAUGUUCACUAGAUGUGGGAGGUAUCGACCCCUUCCGCGUCGAC
RNAcentral lists this ribosomal RNA (328 nucleotides) under uncultured bacterium. RNAcentral's name for it is "bacterial SSU rRNA". It matches the Rfam family "Bacterial small subunit ribosomal RNA", at positions 524 to 850 of the family's 1533-position model. The record is from RNAcentral.